CUAUUCCGACAGGGGAGCGCACAGCGCUGAGAGUGCGGCAGCAGCCGCAGACCCUCGAACCUGAACCGGGUCAUACCGGCGUAGGGAGUUCGGUCACCACUCGAC
This 105-nucleotide non-coding RNA is filed under the name Streptomyces fradiae. RNAcentral describes it as "TPP sequence". It matches the Rfam family "TPP riboswitch aptamer (THI element)". From Rfam's summary of the family: Vitamin B(1) in its active form thiamin pyrophosphate (TPP) is an essential coenzyme that is synthesised by coupling of pyrimidine and thiazole moieties in bacteria. The previously detected thiamin-regulatory element, thi box was extended, resulting in a new, highly conserved RNA secondary structure, the THI element, which is widely distributed in eubacteria and also occurs in some archaea. Analysis of operon structures identified a large number of new candidate thiamin-regulated genes, mostly transporters, in various prokaryotic organisms. The record is from RNAcentral. RNAcentral also lists the same sequence under 1 other name. Lineage: Bacteria; Bacillati; Actinomycetota; Actinomycetes; Kitasatosporales; Streptomycetaceae.